Macaca mulatta (Rhesus monkey) is the source of this 2776-nucleotide non-coding RNA. Lineage: Eukaryota; Metazoa; Chordata; Mammalia; Primates; Cercopithecidae. The record is from RefSeq and is a predicted model, not a curated record.
CUCGCCGUCGGUGGCCAGGCUGUGGCCAUGUGGCCUGGUGGCCAGACCUUUGCAGUUUACUACAACUCUGGAAGAGCUCAGGAAGCACACUUCAUACAGUUCCCAUAUUUCAUGGAUGAAGAGUGUGAGGCCCAGAGCCUGACAGGAAGCUUAGAGUAAAACUGCAAUAGGACAGUUGUCUCCUGUCCCCCAGAACAGUGUUUGCUCCAUGCCGCACUGAUCUGUGUGCUGGAGCAGAUGUAAUUGAAAACAUGGUGGAGAGAAAGGAGUUCUAACUCAUAACACAAAACCUCUGAGAUACCUAAGGAUACCUAACAACAACAACAACAACAACAACAACAACACAACAACAGCAACAAAAUGCACAAGAAUAACCAGAAAACAUUGAAGACAAACAAUGAGUAGGACUUGCUGUAUCAGAAACCAACAUGAUGAAUCCUGAGAAACUGUAGACACGCAUGACAGGCACAGAUACCAGGAACUAUGAACUAGGACCUCACAAAUGAAGACACUCCAGGGGCACCCAAGUCUGUUUUGAGCUGAUAUGAGUUGGGGCAGAUGACUCGAAUGCCUGCUCCAAGUCUCAAGCUAGCUGGCAUCUAGUGGGCCUCUCAGAGUUGAAUGAAAGAAGGCAAAGAGAGCCGAGAAAGCGGUGCAGGAAUGCAGACUGCAUCAGAGGGUAUAUCACACGCCAUUCAGGGACACUGCAAGAGAAGAUCAGGACAACUGAUUUGUCAGAUGGGAAUUCCUGAGUGUAGCUAUAAUGGGCAGAACAGUUAGCAAUUAAAGAGAGGACUCCUUGUCUGCAGCUGGACUUAGACUGAGUUUCAGUUCUCAUGGGUGUAUGGGUCAUUUUCUUCUCAGAAUUAUGGCAGACUCAGAUACCUGUAAUAAUAUGGGAGCAUAAAAAGAACACUUGCAUGUCUGAGUGAUGAUAACUGUUGACCUGAUGGUGAGCAACAGGAGCUCAGAGGAACAGGUACUGAUGAGAAGAAAAGUGAGGGCAUCUCAGCUCUGCCUGGGAGGGCAGGGGAGACUGGAGGCCAGGGGAGGACAAGCAACCUGAGGAGAGGGCUCUGCAGCCAGAGAGGGGCCUGAGGACUGUUGGACCAAGAGCUGGUGGCAGCACUUCAGUGCUUGUAGCUCUUCCUGCUGGAGGAGGAGGUGGUGGUGUACUUGAUGGUGGAACUGCCGCCGCCAACAGAGCUGAGGCCACCUCCAAUGGCUCUGCCGCUGCUGGAACUGAAGCCACCUCCAACGCCAAGACCACUGCCAUAGGAGUAGCUGCUUCCUCCACCCAGGCCUAAGCCACUGCCGACACCGCUGGCACCGCCAUAGCCACUGGAGACAGUGGAUUGUACCACAGCUGUGGUGGGGAGGGAGACAAGGACACAAGAAGCCAUGGUGAGCUCAUCCUGUCAGCCUGAGCCCAGUCAGAAGAGUGCAAGGGCAGGGGAGGAAGGCAAGCAAAGGUACUUACAGAUGUUGACUUGUCCAACGCCUUCGCCAUUCAGCCUGUAGAGAGGAACACAGGGAGGGUGAGACCUCAGAGAGCCCUUCCCCGGAGGAGCAUGGGAAGCCUUGGUGGGUGGAUGAGUCUACGGGAAAACUUUUAGUUUUCUCCCAAGAAGAGCAAUUAUGGUCUUGGGCAGUGCACCUUAAAGUUGUGCUCAGUGCCAGGAACGUUGAAGAAGGACUCAGCUGUUGGAGGAAGUCGCGUCAGUUACCCACCUGCACUCCUCGCCCUCCAGCAGCUUGCGAUAGGUGGCGAUCUCCACGUCCAAGGCCAGCUUGACAUUCAUCAGCUCCUGGUACUCUUUCAGCAGUCGGGCCAGGUCCUGCUUGGCCUUCUGCAGGGCAUCCUCCAGCCCUUCCAGCUUGUUCUUGGCAUCCUUGAGUGCCAUCUCCCCACGCUGCUCAGCAUCAGCAAUGGCAGCCUGCAGGUUGGCACACUAAGAGGGGAAAGGAAUGGAAAGAGCUUGUCAUCUGGUCUUCCAGAGGAGACUAAACCUGGCUGGUUCUUUUCCAGCGAAGAAGGUACCAGGAACCCAGAAUUGAUGGUAAAUGAGCUCUGACACUUCCUGUCUAGCCUUUUUACUAUCUUCAAACCUUUUACAUCUGGAGUUACAUGAUAAAAUCCUGUGCCCCUUUGUGUUAACUCCCCUGCCUAAAGAUGUGGGUGAUGACCCAUGGAAGAUGCCAGAGUGGACACAAGAUCAAGUACAUUAAGUGUUGUCUCCAAAGCAAAACCAAAACCAUUUUUGAUGAUCUUGUAUGGAUGCCACAAUAAUUUGCAAACAUUGUCAACUGAGGUGAUGAGUUUUCACAUGAGGCUGUUGAGACCUUGCCUUCCUCCUGCCUCACAUUCUCUCACCCGCUUGGGCCAUGUUUUCCUUCCUCAUGGCCCUGGUUUCACUUUCUUUUUCACCGUGAACCUUGAGCAGAUUUGCAGCAAUGUUACUCAUGCUUUCUGACCUGACACCUCACCCAACUUGGUCCUUUGCAGUUCCAAAGUCAAUCAGUCUUCUUACAUAAGCCUUUCCAAUGCCUCUAGACUAUACUUUUACAUCUUUGACCAGGUGAAAGUGCUUCUGCCCAGGUGAUUGUUUCAUGUCCUUGGGUGUGAUCCAUGUCUCUGAGCCAGAGUGUUCUCACUGAGCCUAGGAACUGCAUGUCUUUCCUUCUCUGCUUAUCACUCGAUUCCCAAAGAAUUUUACUAAAUGAUGGUUGACUGCUGCCUCAUGACCUAAUAAAAAAAAAUGAUGCUUUUCUCCUC